AUGGAAAUGGCUUCUAAUAUUGCUCACAACAUAUUCAAAGAGGCUUAUAUAUUUUCUCUCGUCUUUGUUAGACGUGGUGAUGUUUUGGCCAUAAGCAGUCCUUUCAAGGAGAGGGAUACAUGGAAAGAAAAGGCUGGAGCUAUGGAGCUGAAUUGCACCAAUCUUCAGAAGGAGCUCCUUUCAUCGAAAGAGGAGGUUACUUAUGCUAAUUAUUUGCGGGAGACUAUGAAAGUGCAUAACUCUCCCUCUACUAUAUAG
Vicia faba (fava bean) is the source of this 258-nucleotide non-coding RNA. Lineage: Eukaryota; Viridiplantae; Streptophyta; Magnoliopsida; Fabales; Fabaceae. The record is from the annotation of a GenBank genome assembly.